UUUCUUCUCGUCUGUCGCCAUGUGAGAUGUACCUUUCACUUUCCUCCAUGAUUGUGAGGCCUCCUUAGCCACAUGGAACUGCCCUGGCAAUCACUAUUCCAGUCUCUGCUUCUAUGAGUUUGACUAUUUCAGAUUCCACAUGUAGGAAAUGCUGGAGUCCUUCAUCCGAAUGGUAAAUGGCACUUGUGACAAAAAUCAAAGUAACUAAAAAAGAAUCUGGUUGAAACCUCAGUAACAGUUGGCCUGUCUACUGCCUCACACUAACAAGGGGGAGCUAAUAAAACCGAGGUUAGAACACACAAUGUGGAAAUGAAAACCUUAUUCUUGUCAAUGGAUGGAGGGUGGUGACCCCCACCUUUACAAGUGUCUGUAAUUCUCACUAGCAGUAUAUUAGAGGGCAAAAGAUUUGAACAGACACAUCAGAAAAGAAGACAUACAAAUGGCCGCUAAGCACUUGAAAGGAUUCUGAACACCAUUAGUCAUCAGUGAAAUGCAAAUUAAAGCCAUAAUGAAUGGCGCUAUACAUUUUCAGAAUGGCAAGGAUUGAAGACCGAAAAAAAUCAAGCGUUGAGGAGAGUGACAAAUGGGGAGACAGCCGUGGUGCAUGAUCGCCGAAUAAAUACCAUGUGAGGAUACAGCAAGAAGGUGGCCAUCUACAAGCCAAGGAGACAGGCCUCAGAAGAAACCAACCCUUCUUACACCCUGGACUCAGACUUCUAAUCUCCAGAACUUGUUAAUGCACAAGGUCUUGUGUUGAAAAUGUAGAGCCACGAGAUAAAAGCAGCUUGGAUGGCUGACUCAUAUACAAGGACAACUGCCUGAGAGUCACCAGGGCUAUCAAGAAGUUUGCAGAAACAAGAAAUAAACUUUUACUGUUUUAAACUUUUGUGAAUUUUGGGUUUUGUUUAUCACCAAAUAAACCUAGUCUAUUCUGAUUGUUAUAA
This 944-nucleotide long non-coding RNA is filed under the name Homo sapiens (human). RNAcentral's name for it is "PYDC2 antisense RNA 1". The record is from RNAcentral. Lineage: Eukaryota; Metazoa; Chordata; Mammalia; Primates; Hominidae.